RNAcentral lists this ribosomal RNA (554 nucleotides) under uncultured bacterium. RNAcentral describes it as "partial 16S ribosomal RNA". It matches the Rfam family "Bacterial small subunit ribosomal RNA", at positions 355 to 902 of the family's 1533-position model. The record is from RNAcentral.
UGGGGAAUUUUGGACAAUGGGCGAAAGCCUGAUCCAGCAAUGCCGCGUGUGUGAAGAAGGCCUUCGGGUUGUAAAGCACUUUUGUCCGGAAAGAAAUCCUUGGCUCUAAUACAGUCGGGGGAUGACGGUACCGGAAGAAUAAGCACCGGCUAACUACGUGCCAGCAGCCGCGGUAAUACGUAGGGUGCAAGCGUUAAUCGGAAUUACUGGGCGUAAAGCGUGCGCAGGCGGUUUGCUAAGACCGGUGUGAGAUCCCCGGGCUCAACCUGGGAACUGCAUUGGUGACUGGCAGGCUAGAGUAUGGCAGAGGGGGGUAGAAUUCCACGUGUAGCAGUGAAAUGCGUAGAGAUGUGGAGGAAUACCGAUGGCGAAGGCAGCCCCCUGGGCCAAUACUGACGCUCAUGCACGAAAGCGUGGGGAGCAAACAGGAUUAGAUACCCUGGUAGUCCACGCCCUAAACGAUGUCAACUAGUUGUUGGGGAUUCAUUUCCUUAGUAACGUAGCUAACGCGUGAAGUUGACCGCCUGGGGAGUACGGUCGCAAGAUUAAAACUC